GUAAUAUACUAUACCAAGCAAGAUAAAAGUAAAUUGAUACAUAGACAUGUUAACCUUAGUCAUGCUACAUAGUAUCAAAGACAAAAAUAAAAACCGGGCACAUGCCUGCAAUCCCAGCACUCAGGAGGCCGAAGCAGGAGGAGCCCCAAGAGUUCAAGGCCAGCCUGUACUGAGUAGCGAAACCUCGUCUCAAAGACAAAAAUCAGAUUGUAAAAGGAGCCAGAGAGAAAAGGCAGAUUAUCUACAAAAAGCCAACGAGACUCACAGCAGUCUUCAAAAUGGCAAUCAAAGCCAGAAGGAAGCAUAGUGCCCUUGGUGCCCUAGAAAAACAUUACAGACCUGGGAUGCAAAUCAGGAAAAUAAAGACACCUGCAGAAAAACAGAAAAUGUGAAUGUUUACCCAAAACUCAGCACGACGCAUUGAAAAGCUGCAGUUCAGGAAGACAGAGCGGACCCCAGCAAGUGUGGAGGCCGAGGUGUGGUGAGUGGACAGUAACAACUGCAGAGACGGCUGUGCACACUGGAACUGAUGGGCGGCAGGGCUGGGGGUUAGGGCGGAGCGAGAUUUACCGCGCUUCCCUCCAGCAGCGCGUGAGCGGGACGCGGCAUCGGCAUCGCAGGCUCGCUCGGAAGGGCGUGGAACGGUCUUUAACCUCAGACUGUAAAGUAGGAAUCCAGCCCUUAAGUACAGCCACAAGAGAACGCAAUACGGCCUACACCUCCGAAACCUGUGAAGAUGGAUAAAUGAGAAGCGAAGCAGAGGCUGUCCGCAGGCAGGGCCGCUUCCGGGCAGCCCUCUGAGGGCCUCAGCUUCUCCCAGAUGGAUGUGCCUGGACCCCAUCCACAGACUCGGUCGACCCCACCUAUGCUUCCAGAGGUCCUUCUGCCACUUUUCAUUCAAUGCAGGGAGCGUGAAUGGCCUUUCGGCAGAGCUAAGGGUGACCACAGAUGGGCGUCAGGAGGCAGGCGACAGAGCAUGGGCCCUGGGGCCCCGUCAGCCCUCUGAGCGCGGCCGUGCAGCUCCCGGCUCCCAGGGGCCCGCCUCGGCCUGUGCCGAAGAACAGGCCUCUGCCACCAAGUGAGCUGUGUGACAGCAACCUCAUGACAGGGCCUCCUCUCUGCCAUCGCCGAGUACAGUGGGGAUGCAGGGCAGAGGGGAGCCGCCCGGGCCCUCCGCCUGCCUCACCGCACCCGGUUCUGAUCCUGCCGGGACCCUGGGGACCCAGCUGCGGAAGGGGACCCGCCACCCCGAGGACCAG
RNAcentral lists this long non-coding RNA (1259 nucleotides) under Heterocephalus glaber (naked mole-rat). RNAcentral's name for it is "lncRNA (ENSHGLG00100046147.1)". The record is from RNAcentral. Lineage: Eukaryota; Metazoa; Chordata; Mammalia; Rodentia; Bathyergidae.